This 253-nucleotide ribosomal RNA is filed under the name uncultured bacterium. RNAcentral's name for it is "partial 16S ribosomal RNA". It matches the Rfam family "Bacterial small subunit ribosomal RNA", at positions 524 to 776 of the family's 1533-position model. The record is from RNAcentral.
UACGGAGGGUGCAAGCGUUAAUCGGAAUUACUGGGCGUAAAGCGCACGCAGGUGGCUGAGUCAGUCGAUUGUGAAAGCCCUGGGCUUAACCUGGGAAUUGCAGUCGAUACUACUCAGCUAGAGUAUGGGAGAGGGUAGUGGAAUUCCCGGUGUAGCGGUGAAAUGCGUAGAUAUCGGGAGGAACAUCAGUGGCGAAGGCGGCUACCUGGCCCAAUACUGACGCUGAGGCGCGAAAGCCAGGGGAGCGAACGGG